Molecule: long non-coding RNA, 1117 nt
Organism: Beta vulgaris subsp. vulgaris (sugar beet)
Lineage: Eukaryota; Viridiplantae; Streptophyta; Magnoliopsida; Caryophyllales; Amaranthaceae
Exons: 3
Source: RefSeq, a predicted model, not a curated record
AAGCCUGUAAUACUCCGUAUUUUUAAUACUAAUUUCGUACUAAUUAAGAAAAUAUAAAAGAAUUAAUAAAAAGGUAUUUUAAUUUUAUUUACAAGUUAAUAGGAAUAAAUUAUUAGUAAUAUGAAUUUGUUAGGAAUUUCCGGAAUUUUAAAAGAGUAACCUAAUCGACCUAGGGUUACUACCUUUUGGAAGGGAGUAUAAAAAGGAAAAGAAGAUGGAAUUUCAGAAAAAAAAAACCCUAAACCCUUUCUUCUCCCUCUCUCCCAGCCGACUUUUCUCUCUCCUCACUCUCUCCUCAGCCGAUUUCUCUCUCUCCCUCUCUCUCAGAGUUUUCUUUCUCUUUAUCUCGGAUCUCUUUCUCUCUCGCUGUUCUCCCUCUUUCGGGAUUUCUCUCCUUGUGCUCUUCGUCUCCCUCGCCGUGUUGGUGCGAAGGGUGUUCGUGGUUCGAGUGCGCAGGCGAGGAGGGUCGAGAUUCGGUGCGAGCCGGUCGCGAAAGAGCGGUUCGAGGGUUUUGUGUGGUUCGAACGGUGCGCAGGCGUCAAGGGUUGAAAGCUUGCGCGAGUUCGUCGAAGGGGUCGAGUUGUGCGCGAAGGUGUUCGAGGGUAGUGCGCCAAGCUAAGGUGAGGGUGCGCGAGAAAUCGCGUCGUGCGAGUGUAGCUGCGCGACAGGUUGCGAGAAGGUUUGUGUGAGCGUGGUUCCGCGUCGUGCGAGCGUGGUGGCGCGACGGAUCUGGGUCGCGCAAGGGGGUUUGGGCGACGGAAACCGGUUUCGGUGUUGUGCGCGUGUGUGGUGUGGUUUUCGGUCGCCGGAAUUCUUUCGCCGGCGAUUUCUAACGGUCCCAAUUUCAUAAGCGGCUCGUUCUAUUAAGUCAGCGAAAAUUCUCCGUUACAAGACUAGGUGAGCUGGUGCUGCUGCAUGACAUCAAGCAUAUGGGGGCUAGACUGUAGUUUGAAGUUAACUUUUGGUUUGAUCAUUAAUGAAUUUUAUAGAACAUUAUUACAUGGUUUGAGUUUGAAUAAAGAGGGGUCAUCUAUGAUUCCCGAGUUGUAAUUACAUUUUCUAUUCCGCUGCAAUUUGGUUUUGAGACAAUGAAUUUGAGUUACCAUAUUUCUAAUUA